Molecule: non-coding RNA, 66 nt
Organism: Cordylochernes scorpioides
Lineage: Eukaryota; Metazoa; Arthropoda; Arachnida; Pseudoscorpiones; Chernetidae
Source: the annotation of a GenBank genome assembly
GCCUCGUUAGCGCAGUAGGUAGCGAGUCAGUCUCAUAAUCUGAAGGUUCGAUCCUCACACGGGGCU